This 430-nucleotide ribosomal RNA is filed under the name uncultured Actinomycetes bacterium. RNAcentral's name for it is "bacterial SSU rRNA". It matches the Rfam family "Bacterial small subunit ribosomal RNA", at positions 917 to 1348 of the family's 1533-position model. The record is from RNAcentral. Lineage: Bacteria; Bacillati; Actinomycetota; Actinomycetes.
GGGCCCGCACAAGCGGCGGAGCAUGUGGAUUAAUUCGAUGCAACGCGAAGAACCUUACCUGGGUUUGACAUGCACCAGACGCUGCCGGAGACGGUAGUUCCCUUGUGGUUGGUGUGCAGGUGGUGCAUGGCUGUCGUCAGCUCGUGUCGUGAGAUGUUGGGUUAAGUCCCGCAACGAGCGCAACCCUCGUUCCAUGUUGCCAGCGCGUGAUGGCGGGGACUCAUGGGAGACUGCCGGGGUCAACUCGGAGGAAGGUGGGGAUGACGUCAAGUCAUCAUGCCCCUUAUGUCCAGGGCUUCACACAUGCUACAAUGGCUCAUACAGAGGGCUGCGAGACCGUGAGGUGGAGCGAAUCCCUUAAAGUGAGUCUCAGUUCGGAUCGGGGUCUGCAACUCGACCCCAUGAAGUCGGAGUCGCUAGUAAUCGCAGA